Molecule: ribosomal RNA, 497 nt
Filed under: uncultured bacterium
Lineage: Bacteria
Description: partial 16S ribosomal RNA
Rfam family: Bacterial small subunit ribosomal RNA
Source: RNAcentral
GAUGAACGCUGGCGGCGUGCCUAAUACAUGCAAGUCGAGCGAACAGACGAGGAGCUUGCUCCUCUGACGUUAGCGGCGGACGGGUGAGUAACACGUGGAUAACCUACCUAUAAGACUGGGAUAACUUCGGGAAACCGGAGCUAAUACCGGAUAAUAUAUUGAACCGCAUGGUUCAAUAGUGAAAGACGGUUUUGCUGUCACUUAUAGAUGGAUCCGCGCCGCAUUAGCUAGUUGGUAAGGUAACGGCUUACCAAGGCAACGAUGCGUAGCCGACCUGAGAGGGUGAUCGGCCACACUGGAGCUGAGACACGGUCCAGACUCCUACGGGAGGCAGCAGUAGGGAAUCUUCCGCAAUGGGCGAAAGCUUGACGGAGCAACGCCGCGUGAGUGAUGAAGGUCUUCGGAUCGUAAAACUCUGCUAUUAGGGAAGAACAAAUGUGUAAGUAACUAUGCACGUCUUGACGGUACCUAAUCAGAAAGCCACGGCUAACUACGUG